AUGGUUUCCCGACCAGAUUUUACCAAAGGAAUUGGGUCAUCUCUGAAAGUUGAAAUUAUUGCUCCUGUGUUGGAGUUCUUUACUUCAGGUUCAAUGCUAGAGGGAGUGAAUGAUACGGCGAUUGCUUUAAUUCCUAAAGUUCCUCACCCCAAGGAGCUGGAGGACUUUAGGCCAUUUAGCCUAUGCAAUGUUAUUUACAAGAUCGUGUCCAAGUGCUUGGUUAAUCGACUCCGACCUCUGCUUGCGGAGCUGAUUUCGAAGAACCAAAGUGCAUUUAUUCCGUGUCGCCUCAUCUCGGACAAGUCUAUUAUUGCUUUUGAGUGUAUCCAUCACAUACAGAGUUUGAAGAAUAAUAGCCGGGCGGCUUGUGCUUAUAAACUUGAUCUUUCGAAGGCGUACGAUCAUGUUGAUUGGGCAUUCUUGGAACAUGCCCUAGGUAAAUGGGGUUUUUCGGAUCAGUGAAUAGCAUGGAUUAUGACAUGUGUUAAAUCAGUAAGAUACUCGGUAAAAUUCAAUGGGAAACUUUUGAAGGUGUUUACCCCAUCUAGGGGACUUCGACAAGGUGACCCACUAUCCCCAUUUUUAUUACUAUUUAUUGCUGAUGCCUUGUCUACCCUGAUAUCCAAAUCAGUGAAUGAGGGGAAUUUGAAGGGGGUGAAUAUUUGUCGUGGUGUGCUGAUCAUAUCUCACCUCCUAUUUGUGGAUGACACUAUGAUGUUUUUCGAAGCUUCAGGCGAACAAGCAAAUAUUGUAAAAGGUUUGUUGAACACUUAUUCCUCAGCGACGGGUCAACUCAUUAACCCCGAGAAGUGUUCCAUUCUUUUUUCGGAUAAUUGCAAUGAGCCGGUGGCGGAAGAGGUAAAGAGCAUUCUGGAGAUAACACAACACGUGUUCGAGCCAAAAUAUUUAGGCCUUCCUGUGCCAGAGGGAAGAGUGCACAAGGGGCAGUUCAAAACUCUACAGGAGAGGCUAAGGAAGAGGCUAGUUGACUGGAGUGAACAAUACAUGUCAGUUGGAAACAAGGAGAUCUUGAUAAAGGCCAUGGCUCAAGCAAUCCCCACUUAUGUCAUGAGCAUGUUCCGGUUACCUGCAUCAGUAUGUGACGACCUAACCAAAAUGAUUAGGCAGUACUGGUGGGGUGUGGAAAAUGGUAAGAGAAAGAUGGCUUGGCUAAGUUGGGAGAAAAUGAUGCUACCAAAAGAUAUGGGGGCCAUGGGGUUUCAGGAUAUGCGGGCGUUCAACCAAGCGUUGCUGGCCAAGCAAGCGUGGCGCCUACUGGACAGCCUGGACAGCCUUUGUGCCCGUUUAUUGCGUGCUAAAUACUACCCACGGGGUAAUUUACUCGACACUAUUUUUUCCUCAAACUCGUCAGCGGUCUGGAAAUGUAUUGUUCAUGGGCUGGAACUUCUAAAGAAGGGUAUUAUUUGGCGUGUUGGUGAUGGCACCUUAAUCAAGACUUGGAGAGAUGCUUGGAUCCCGAGAGGACAUAACUUUAGACCGGUCACACCAAAGAGGAAUUGCCGGUUUAAUUGGGUGGCUGACUUUUUGAAUGAACACGGGGCAUGGAAUGAACAAAGGCUGAGGGAACACUUUUGGGAACUCGGUGUUCAUGAGAUUUUGAAGAUCCGCACUUCACCAUGGAAUGGCCAUGAUUUCAUUGCCUGGUUCCCGGAGCGGAGCGGUCAAUUUUCGGUCCGGAGUGCAUAA
RNAcentral lists this ribosomal RNA (1707 nucleotides) under Triticum aestivum (bread wheat). RNAcentral describes it as "partial small subunit ribosomal RNA". The record is from RNAcentral. Lineage: Eukaryota; Viridiplantae; Streptophyta; Magnoliopsida; Poales; Poaceae.